CCGAGAGAAGAGCCUCCCCUUUCCUUCCCUCUCCCCCAGAGGAGGUGAAGGGGGGGUAACCUUCACAAAACCCUUCCUGCGUACCUUUACCACGUUGCCUCCGUGGGGGCUGGCGAGGGCCGCUGAGAAGCGUCCCGGUGCCUCCGGGGUGGGGAGCCGUCAAGGCUUUCCCCCGCCUCCAGCCCACGGAGGGGCUACAACACAAACCAUUUGCUGUAGAACCGAUCGCAGUCUGUCCACCGCUUCCGCGAGGAAGAGGGGAUAAAAGAAAACAAGUCA
RNAcentral lists this unclassified non-coding RNA (279 nucleotides) under uncultured fungus. RNAcentral describes it as "sequence contains ITS1". Lineage: Eukaryota; Fungi. The record is from RNAcentral.